AGAGUUUGAUCAUGGCUCAGAUUGAACGCUGGCGGCAGGCCUAACACAUGCAAGUCGAGCGGCAGCGACAACAUUGAACCUUCGGGAGAUUUGUUGGGCGGCGAGCGGCGGACGGGUGAGUAAUGCCUGGGAAAUUGCCCUGAUGUGGGGGAUAACCAUUGGAAACGAUGGCUAAUACCGCAUGAUAGCUUCGGCUCAAAGAGGGGGACCUUCGGGCCUCUCGCGUCAGGAUAUGCCCAGGUGGGAUUAGCUAGUUGGUGAGGUAAGGGCUCACCAAGGCGACGAUCCCUAGCUGGUCUGA
RNAcentral lists this ribosomal RNA (301 nucleotides) under Vibrio furnissii CIP 102972. RNAcentral describes it as "bacterial SSU rRNA". It matches the Rfam family "Bacterial small subunit ribosomal RNA", at positions 8 to 295 of the family's 1533-position model. Lineage: Bacteria; Pseudomonadati; Pseudomonadota; Gammaproteobacteria; Vibrionales; Vibrionaceae. The record is from RNAcentral.